GACCAGCAGUAUCCAUUCAUAUUCUUUCAAAUGGGACUUCCAGAAUAAUGAAGAGUAUCCAAGGGCUCUUAAACUCUAGGUUGUGUGCUGUCCUUUAACAUUCUGUCCAAGCCACACAGAAACUUUCUAUGCUCCAUAUGAAACCAGGAUAUUUAACGAACUGCCAGUGACCUACGGUCUGUUUCAAUUCCAUAAGCAAGAGACUCAGGUAAAUUCAAAAUGCUCGGAAGCCAGGAAGUAAGAAACGUUACCAUAUUGUACCCUUCAGUCUUUUUUGGUCUAUAUUAGGAAACCGAAAACCCGUUUGAGCGAAUCGGAAUUGAGCGACACAUAUAGUGCGAACUAUGGUAACGGCGAACGUUCAAAACCGCAAAACAUGAAAUGUCGAAUUGUCAUGGUUGGCCCAUCUGCGGUAUGCACU
This is a long non-coding RNA of Protopterus annectens (West African lungfish), 421 nucleotides long. RefSeq lists it as uncharacterized. The transcript has 3 exons. The record is from RefSeq and is a predicted model, not a curated record. Lineage: Eukaryota; Metazoa; Chordata; Ceratodontiformes; Protopteridae.